UGGACGGAGCACUCAGCAUGCUGGGGAGCGAGAGACAUCCAUGGAAGGUGCUGAGCUAUCUCAGAGUUUUUGGAAGCUUCCCUGCUUUUUCCCCAUCAGUGUGUUAAAGAGGAAAUCCCCCUUACAAAUCUCCCCUCAGAGGGGCAUGUAAGGGACCAAAACCAUCUUAACCAGAGCCAGCAGCACAGGAUACCCUGUGGUACUGAACUUUGAUUCACAUACCACAAUGAAUGAAAGACGUGAUGGGAAACCUGAGCUGAAGAGAGCAGGAACGUAUGAGCAGUGCAAUUUUGGUCUUCUGGAAGUAUCAUUUCUGGGCACAUUCUGAGAAAUGCAUGUACAUCCAGACCAGGAAAGUGAAAACCUCCAAGUCUUUUCAAAGGUUGUGCUGGACUGGAAACAACGGAGAACGGUUAUCUGUGUUUCAGGAGUGAAAUUUUAGGCAUAGUUGAAAACCUUCCCUGCGUAAGUUUGAGUUACUGCACUCUCUACGAGGACUGAUGCUCUCCAGUCAUUUGCUUUUCCUUCAUUUUGGUUUUCUGACUCUCUGAAGAGUUUAAACUCCUCCACUGUCUUGUUGAAAUACCAGCGUAGGCUGAGGAGAUGGUAGGUAAGCAAGUCCUGCUGGAAUGGCCACCUAACCAGAACUAUGUGCUGCAGCCCCUUCACAUUUGAAACUCCCAUUAACCUCAAUGUACUGCCGGGAGAUAGUCUGGAUUUAACUGUCUUCACCUCAAAAAGGGCAUUCACUGAACAAAGAGCCAGAGACAAAACUGCUGCACUUGAGGAACAACCAGAACUGUACAUCAAUUUGCAUUUGCAAGUCUUUCCCUGAGGUUUUUUUCCUAGCAGCUGCCAAGCAUUAAAUGGCUUUACUUGUAGGUAAUUUUAAAGUUAAUUUGUUUUGUAGAGAAAUUGCACUAUUCCGCUGUGUUUUUGCUCUCCUUUCUUGGUAGAGAUUUGCAAUCUGAAUAGCCCAAAUAAAAGCUGCGUUUGGGGGUUGGGGGGAAUUCAGCUUUAAGAAGUCUCAAGAUUUUACCCGAAGUUUCAAUAUUUGUUUCUUCCUCUGUUAUUCUUAGACAUGAAUGAACUCAUGACUGUUCUAAGCUUUUUGUUUUUUUGUUUUUGUUUUUUUUUUAAGUUUGUUUCUACCUUUCACAUUUGUAACAUCUGAAAAUAGACAUACAUAAAGGAAUAGAUAAAUAAAUAAAUAGAAUAGUUAAAGGGUUAGAAGUUUAAAUAUUCCAGCUAUUUUUUUUUCUUGCUGGAAAACAAGAUUUUUAAGCCAGUUUCAGUAUUUUGGAAACCUGUAGGACACCAGUCUUAGGGUUAGCAAAACUACAUGCUUUGACAUGGGCUUGAAACCAGGAUGCUUAAAAAGGAAAAGAGAAAAAGAAAUAGAAAAAGAGAAAGAAAAAGGAGAAAACGAAAAAAAAUGAGAAGAAAAAGGGAAGGG
This is a long non-coding RNA of Gallus gallus (chicken), 1456 nucleotides long. NCBI's taxonomy places the organism in Eukaryota, Metazoa, Chordata, Aves, Galliformes, Phasianidae. The record is from Ensembl.